This 832-nucleotide ribosomal RNA is filed under the name Bacillus albus. RNAcentral describes it as "bacterial SSU rRNA". It matches the Rfam family "Bacterial small subunit ribosomal RNA", at positions 50 to 860 of the family's 1533-position model. The record is from RNAcentral. Lineage: Bacteria; Bacillati; Bacillota; Bacilli; Caryophanales; Bacillaceae.
AAUACAUGCAAGUCGAGCGAAUGGAUUAAGAGCUUGCUCUUAUGAAGUUAGCGGCGGACGGGUGAGUAACACGUGGGUAACCUGCCCAUAAGACUGGGAUAACUCCGGGAAACCGGGGCUAAUACCGGAUAACAUUUUGAACCGCAUGGUUCGAAAUUGAAAGGCGGCUUCGGCUGUCACUUAUGGAUGGACCCGCGUCGCAUUAGCUAGUUGGUGAGGUAACGGCUCACCAAGGCAACGAUGCGUAGCCGACCUGAGAGGGUGAUCGGCCACACUGGGACUGAGACACGGCCCAGACUCCUACGGGAGGCAGCAGUAGGGAAUCUUCCGCAAUGGACGAAAGUCUGACGGAGCAACGCCGCGUGAGUGAUGAAGGCUUUCGGGUCGUAAAACUCUGUUGUUAGGGAAGAACAAGUGCUAGUUGAAUAAGCUGGCACCUUGACGGUACCUAACCAGAAAGCCACGGCUAACUACGUGCCAGCAGCCGCGGUAAUACGUAGGUGGCAAGCGUUAUCCGGAAUUAUUGGGCGUAAAGCGCGCGCAGGUGGUUUCUUAAGUCUGAUGUGAAAGCCCACGGCUCAACCGUGGAGGGUCAUUGGAAACUGGGAGACUUGAGUGCAGAAGAGGAAGUGGAAUUCCAUGUGUAGCGGUGAAAUGCGUAGAGAUAUGGAGGAACACCAGUGGCGAAGGCGACUUUCUGGUCUGUAACUGACACUGAGGCGCGAAAGCGUGGGGAGCAAACAGGAUUAGAUACUCUGGUAGUCCACGCCGUAAACGAUGAGUGCUAAGUGUUAGAGGGUUUCCGCUCUUUUUAGUGCUGAAGUUAACGCAU